UUCAUACAAACAUCGCAAACCACUUGCUCCUUCUUGUUGCUAGAGUAUCAUCAGUUACUUUUGAAAUGGCCAACUUUAAAGUCAUGCUCUCUUGUCUUUUACUGUUCGGAUUGAUUACAUCUGGAGUUUCUGUUGACUGGAAUGAUCCCCGAACAGGCAUAUGCUUCUGGGCUAGAGAUGCAAGGAUUUCGUUGAAAGAUGAUCCGAGACUUUACAAAUAUUGUGCCAUGGUCAUUGCUUCCCAGAAUGAAGAUAGAAAAAAAUAUUGAAAGUUGUCUGAGAAAGUCAAAAUAAAAUUAUCAGAGUAGUCUUCACGUUUCCGUUAUUUUAAUAAAUGGAAUGUGUUUGUCAAAAAGGCCAUGCAACAAAGACUCUAAAUCAUACACAUAAUAUGGCUGACAAACGAAACAGCAGCAACUGUUAUUUAUGAAUAAACGAUUAAUAAUCAAUAUUAUUUUGAAAUUCUAUCAAAGACUAUCAUCAAACAACUUUGCAUAAGAUUAAAUAUAUUAAAAGAUGAA
Molecule: long non-coding RNA, 521 nt
Organism: Magallana angulata
Lineage: Eukaryota; Metazoa; Mollusca; Bivalvia; Ostreida; Ostreidae
Exons: 3
Source: RefSeq, a predicted model, not a curated record